Non-coding RNA from Cinara cedri, 219 nucleotides. The record is from the annotation of a GenBank genome assembly. Lineage: Eukaryota; Metazoa; Arthropoda; Insecta; Hemiptera; Aphididae.
UUCGUGUGCGCGUAUCAGAAAGAUUCUCUUAUUUGCAGCAUGUCAGAAGAGAAAUAAAUAUAAAUUGUUUUUAGCAACCAGUGUAUUAUUAUUUUGUUACUCAUAUUUUGUAUUAUCAAAAACCCCGAAAUUUAAAGUCCGUUAGAUAACAUAAACAUGUAUUACAGUAAACCUAUAUUACAAAGUUUCUGAGAAAUCAUUUUUUUAAUAGAAUCCUUA